Molecule: transfer RNA, 83 nt
Filed under: Candidatus Moraniibacteriota bacterium
Lineage: Bacteria; Candidatus Moraniibacteriota
Description: tRNA-Leu
Rfam family: tRNA
About the family: Transfer RNA (tRNA) molecules are approximately 80 nucleotides in length. Their secondary structure includes four short double-helical elements and three loops (D, anti-codon, and T loops).
Source: RNAcentral
GCCGCGGUGGCGGAAUGGUAUACGCAGCGGACUUAAAAUCCGCGGAUCGUAAGGUCAUGUGGGUUCGAUUCCCACCCGCGGUA